AAAAACAUGGCUUUUUGAGAAUAAUUUUAAGUCAGGCCUGCCCUAUGAAUUUUUUUUAAAUGGCCGCAGUAUCCUAACUGUGCAAAGGUAGCACAAUCACUAGUUUUUUAAUUGAAAGCUGGAAUGAAAGGUCGGAUGAGAAAGUAGCUGUCUCUAUAAAAAUUUAAUUGAAUUUUAUUUUUAAGUAAAAAAGCUUAAAUUUAUGUAAAAGACGAGAAGACCCUAUAGAGUUUUAUAUUUACAAAAAAAUAAAAUUUUGCUUUAGUAUUUUAAAAAAUUUGUUUUAAAAAAAUAUUUGGUUGGGGUGAUUGGAAAAUUAAAUAAACUUUUCUUCUUUUUAACAUUUAUUUAUGAGCAAAUGAUCCUUUAUUUGAGAUUAUAAGAUAAAAUUACCUUAGGGAUAACAGCGUAAUUUUUUUUGAGAGUUCAAAUCGAUAAAAAAGAUUGCGACCUCGAUGUUGGAUUAAAUUAAAUUUUUGGUGUAGUCGCUAAAAUAAUUAGGUCUGUUCGACCUUUAAAAUUUUACUUGAUCUGAGUU
Molecule: ribosomal RNA, 538 nt
Filed under: Barioxyonyx kerzhneri
Lineage: Eukaryota; Metazoa; Arthropoda; Insecta; Coleoptera; Curculionidae
Description: partial 16S ribosomal RNA
Rfam family: Bacterial large subunit ribosomal RNA
Source: RNAcentral